RNAcentral lists this microRNA precursor (158 nucleotides) under Leersia perrieri. Its description in RNAcentral is "MIR812 microRNA precursor family". It matches the Rfam family "MIR812 microRNA precursor family", at positions 19 to 189 of the family's 205-position model. Lineage: Eukaryota; Viridiplantae; Streptophyta; Magnoliopsida; Poales; Poaceae. The record is from Rfam by way of RNAcentral.
ACUAAUUUCCGUGUCUAACUUUAACCGUUCAUCUUAUUUAAAAAUAUAAUUAAUAUUUUUAUUGUUAUUAGCUGGUAACACAUGAAUACUACGACUAUUUUUUAAUUUAUUCAUAAAAUUUUUUAUAAGUGGAAAGGUUAAAGUUAGACACGUAAAUC